RNAcentral lists this ribosomal RNA (253 nucleotides) under uncultured bacterium. RNAcentral describes it as "partial 16S ribosomal RNA". It matches the Rfam family "Bacterial small subunit ribosomal RNA", at positions 524 to 776 of the family's 1533-position model. The record is from RNAcentral.
UACAGAGGUCUCAAGCGUUGUUCGGAUUCAUUGGGCGUAAAGGGUGCGUAGGCGGCGCGGUAAGUCGGGUGUGAAAUCUCGGGGCUUAACUCCGAAACUGCAUUCGAUACUGCGGUGCUUGAGGACUGGAGAGGAGACUGGAAUUCAUGGUGUAGCAGUGAAGUGCGUAGAGAUCAUGAGGAAGACCAGUGGCGAAGGCGGGUCUCUGGACAGUUCCUGACACUGAGACACGAAGGCCAGGGGAGCAAACGGG